This 70-nucleotide transfer RNA is filed under the name Pseudocheirus peregrinus (common ring-tailed possum). RNAcentral describes it as "transfer RNA-Asp". The record is from RNAcentral. Lineage: Eukaryota; Metazoa; Chordata; Mammalia; Diprotodontia; Pseudocheiridae.
AAGAUAUUAGUAAUAAUUAUUACAUAACUUUGCCAUAGUUAAAUAUAGGUUUAAUCCUAUAUAUCUUAUA